RNAcentral lists this ribosomal RNA (746 nucleotides) under Lepista panaeola. Its description in RNAcentral is "eukaryotic LSU rRNA". The stretch from base 369 to 522 matches the Rfam family "5.8S ribosomal RNA". Lineage: Eukaryota; Fungi; Basidiomycota; Agaricomycetes; Agaricales; Clitocybaceae. The record is from RNAcentral.
GCUUAGUGAGGUCUCCGGAUUGGCUUUGGGGAGCCGGCAACGGCACCUUAUUGCUGAGAAGCUGAUCAAACUUGGUCAUUUAGAGGAAGUAAAAGUCGUAACAAGGUUUCCGUAGGUGAACCUGCGGAAGGAUCAUUAUUGAAUAAACUUGGUCGGGUUGCUGCUGGCUUUUCGGAGCAUGUGCACGCCUGCCACCAUUUUUACCACCUGUGCACUCUUUGUAGAUCUAGAAUAUCUCUCGAGGAAACUCGGUUUGAGAGAUGCUGUGCGCAAGCCAGCUUCUCUUGCAUUCUAGGUCUAUGUAUUUAUUAUACCCCAUACUAUAUUUCAGAAUGUCAUUAAUGGGCCUUGUGCCUUUAAAUUAAUACAACUUUCAACAACGGAUCUCUUGGCUCUCGCAUCGAUGAAGAACGCAGCGAAAUGCGAUAAGUAAUGUGAAUUGCAGAAUUCAGUGAAUCAUCGAAUCUUUGAACGCACCUUGCGCUCCUUGGUAUUCCGAGGAGCAUGCCUGUUUGAGUGUCAUUAAAUUCUCAACCUUUUCAGCUUUUGCAAGUUGAAUUUGGCUUGGAUGUGGAGGUUGCGGGCUUCUCAGAAGUCGGCUCUUCUUAAAUGCAUUAGCGGAACCUUUGUGGACCAGCUUUGGUGUGAUAAUUAUCUACGCCACUGUUGUGAAACAGCUUUACAUGGGGUUCAGCUUCUAACUGUCCAUUGACUUGGACAAUUUUUGACAUUUUGACCUCAAAUCA